This 23-nucleotide non-coding RNA is filed under the name Cricetulus griseus (Chinese hamster). Lineage: Eukaryota; Metazoa; Chordata; Mammalia; Rodentia; Cricetidae. The record is from RNAcentral.
CCCCAUCAGAUCGACCAUGUUGA